GAACUGAAGAGUUUGAUCAUGGCUCAGAUUGAACGCUGGCGGCAGGCCUAACACAUGCAAGUCGAGCGAAUGAAGGGAGCUUGCUCCUGGAUUCAGCGGCGGACGGGUGAGUAAUGCCUAGGAAUCUGCCUGGUAGUGGGGGAUAACGUCCGGAAACGGGCGCUAAUACCGCAUACGUCCUGAGGGAGAAAGUGGGGGAUCUUCGGACCUCACGCUAUCAGAUGAGCCUAGGUCGGAUUAGCUAGUUGGUGGGGUAAAGGCCUACCAAGGCGACGAUCCGUAACUGGUCUGAGAGGAUGAUCAGUCACACUGGAACUGAGACACGGUCCAGACUCCUACGGGA
RNAcentral lists this ribosomal RNA (343 nucleotides) under Pseudomonas aeruginosa. Its description in RNAcentral is "bacterial SSU rRNA". It matches the Rfam family "Bacterial small subunit ribosomal RNA", at positions 1 to 346 of the family's 1533-position model. The record is from RNAcentral. Lineage: Bacteria; Pseudomonadati; Pseudomonadota; Gammaproteobacteria; Pseudomonadales; Pseudomonadaceae.